AUUGAACGCUGGCGGCAUGUCUUACACAUGCAAGUCGAACGGUAACAGGUCUUCGGAUGCUGACGAGUGGCGAACGGGUGAGUAAUACAUCGGAACGUGCCCGAUCGUGGGGGAUAACGGAGCGAAAGCUUUGCUAAUACCGCAUACGAUCUACGGAUGAAAGCGGGGGAUCUUCGGACCUCGCGCGGACGGAGCGGCCGAUGGCAGAUUAGGUAGUUGGUGGGAUAAAAGCUAACCAAGCCGACGAUCUGUAGCUGGUCUGAGAGGAUGAUCAGCCACACUGGGACUGAGACACGGCCCAG
This 302-nucleotide ribosomal RNA is filed under the name uncultured Alicycliphilus sp. Its description in RNAcentral is "bacterial SSU rRNA". It matches the Rfam family "Bacterial small subunit ribosomal RNA", at positions 30 to 334 of the family's 1533-position model. The record is from RNAcentral. Lineage: Bacteria; Pseudomonadati; Pseudomonadota; Betaproteobacteria; Burkholderiales; Comamonadaceae.